Non-coding RNA from Heterocephalus glaber (naked mole-rat), 827 nucleotides. Lineage: Eukaryota; Metazoa; Chordata; Mammalia; Rodentia; Bathyergidae. The record is from RefSeq and is a predicted model, not a curated record.
AAUCAGUUUGAUUUGAAGACAUUCCUUUGCCUUACAUGGUCUUGUCUUUGACAUUCUGUAUACCUUUAUUAUUAGGUUAUGAAUUAUUUAUAUACCAAAUAUUACACUUUUAAAUAUUUUCAUGUUCUCUGAUCUUUAGAAUUAUUUAUGUUAAAAUUUUAAUUGGAAAGCCCAUUGCCUACUUAAGCUCAGGACUUUAUGACCUCAGAAUGGAGUGCCUUUGAGUUCUACAUGCUAACAGAAAUUUCAUAGUAACUGUACAUGAGGUUGGAGGAUCUAAUAUUGAAGCUGAUAAUAGAAGCAUUAAUGUAAAAACAGAACUUAUUUUUGUCAAAAAUGAGAUGUACGCUUGUCAUGAUUUAAGUAUGUUGGCCUCUUGUGUUUAUUGCUAUUUUGAGACAUGCCCACUUUCCUUCCAGUCAGAGGGGAGCAUGACUCGACUGGAGACAAAAACCAAAUGCAUUUCAAGAAGAAAAGGGAGAAAAGGGCAGAGCCUCCUCUGUGAUGAGCAUGGGUACCAUAUUCUCCGCAGAGCAUGGCCCGCCCAGCCCAGCUGCUGUACUAGGCCAGAUACCACAUGUCCCUUCAGGAUGGUGGGAGUACUUAACCCUAGUUCCUGGGAGCCAGAGGACCGUCCGAUGUGCCAACAACAAGCCUGCAGAGAUCGCAAUCCUGGGGAGCAGCCCAAAGCUUUGGUGUAAAUGAACCACUGGAUUUCAGCUCUCAUUUGCUGGGCCUUUGGACAAUUCCUCUCCCUACAGCAAGCUCAGUAGGUAUACAAAACACCCUAUGUAACAACUUUUGCCUACAGUCAAAUAAAGAUUGCA